This 337-nucleotide unclassified non-coding RNA is filed under the name soil metagenome. RNAcentral describes it as "partial contains 5.8S ribosomal RNA, internal transcribed spacer 2, and large subunit ribosomal RNA". The stretch from base 1 to 120 matches the Rfam family "5.8S ribosomal RNA", at positions 35 to 154 of the family's 154-position model. The record is from RNAcentral.
GAUGAAGAACGUAGCGAAAUGCGAUAAGUAAUGUGAAUUGCAGAAUUCAGUGAAUCAUCGAAUCUUUGAACGCACAUUGCGCCCGCCAGUAUUCUGGCGGGCAUGCCUGUUCGAGCGUCAUUUCAACCAUCAAGCCCCUCGGCUUGUGUUGGGGACCUGCGGCUGCCGCAGGCCCUGAAAAGCAGUGGCGGGCUCGCUGUCACACCGAGCGUAGUAGAUCUCAUCUCGCUCAGGGCGUGCUGCGGGUUCCGGCCGUUAAACCACCUUCAUAACCCAAGGUUGACCUCGGAUCAGGUAGGAAGACCCGCUGAACUUAAGCAUAUCAAUAAGCGGAGGA